RNAcentral lists this ribosomal RNA (490 nucleotides) under uncultured Corynebacterium sp. RNAcentral's name for it is "partial 16S ribosomal RNA". The record is from RNAcentral. Lineage: Bacteria; Bacillati; Actinomycetota; Actinomycetes; Mycobacteriales; Corynebacteriaceae.
CACGUAGUUAGCCGGUGCUUCUUAUCUACCUACCGUCACCACAAGUGGCUUCGUCGAUAGCGAAAGGAGUUUACAACCCGAAGGCCGUCAUCCCCCACGCGGCGUCGCUGCAUCAGGCUUGCGCCCAUUGUGCAAUAUUCCCCACUGCUGCCUCCCGUAGGAGUCUGGGCCGUAUCUCAGUCCCAAUGUGUCCGUACACCCUCUCAGGCCGGAUACCCGUCGCCGCCUUGGUAGGCCAUUACCCCACCAACAAGCUGAUAGGCCGCAGGCUCAUCCCACACCGCAAAAGCUUUCCACCACAACAUCCAAGAAGUGGUCCUAUAUGGUAUUAGACCCAGUUUCCCAAGCUUAUCCCAUAGUGCAGGGCAGAUCACCCACGUGUUACUCACCCGUUCGCCACUCGAGUACCUGUACAAGUACAGGCCUUUCCGUUCGACUUGCAUGUGUUAAGCACGCCGCCAGCGUUCAUCCUGAGCCAGGAUCAAACUCU